AGUCAACAUGCCCAGGGGACGUGGAUAACCUCGGGAAACUGAGGGUAAACCGCGAUAGGUCAUCACUUCUGGAAUGGGUAAUGACUUAAAUCUACAUGGCCCCUGGAUUGGACUGCGGCCGAUCAGGCUGUUGGUGAGGUAAUGGCCCACCAAACCUGUAACCGGUACGGGCUCUGAGAGGAGGAGCCCGGAGAUGGGCACUGAGACAAGGGCCCAGGCCCUAUGGGGCGCAGCAGGCGCGAAACCUCUGCAAUAGGCGAAAGCUUGACAGGGUUACUCUGAGUGAUUUCCGUUAAGGAGAUCUUUUGGCACCUCUAAAAAUGGUGCAGAAUAAGGGGUGGGCAAGUCUGGUGUCAGCCGCCGCGGUAAUACCAGCACCCCGAGUGGUCGGGACGUUUAUUGGGCCUAAAGCAUCCGUAGCCGGUUCUACAAGUCUACCGUUAAAUCCACCUGCUUAACAGAUGGGCUGCGGAAGAUACUAUAGAGCUAGGAGGCGGGAGAGGCAAGCGGUACUCGAUGGGUAGGGGUAAAAUCCGUUGAUCCAUUGAAGACCACCAGUGGCGAAGGCGGCUUGCCAGAACGCGCUCGACGGUGAGGGAUGAAAGCUGGGGGAGCAAACCGGAUUAGAUACCCGGGUAGUCCCAGCUGUAAACGAUGCAGACUCGGUGAUGAGUUGGCUUAUUGCUAACUCAGUGCCGCAGGGAAGCCGUUAAGUUUGCCGCCUGGGGAGUACGGUCGCAAGACUGAAACUUAA
Molecule: ribosomal RNA, 754 nt
Filed under: uncultured archaeon
Lineage: Archaea
Description: bacterial SSU rRNA
Rfam family: Archaeal small subunit ribosomal RNA
Source: RNAcentral